UGGGGAAUUUUGGACAAUGGGCGAAAGCCUGAUCCAGCAAUGCCGCGUGUGUGAAAGAAGGCCUUCGGGUUGUAAAGCACUUUUGUCCGGAAAGAAAUCCUUGGCUCUAAUACAGUCGGGGGAUGACGGUACCGGAAGAAUAAGCACCGGCUAACUACGUGCCAGCAGCCGCGGUAAUACGUAGGGUGCAAGCGUUAAUCGGAAUUACUGGGCGUAAAGCGUGCGCAGGCGGUUUGCUAAGACCGAUGUGAAAUCCCCGGGCUCAACCUGGGAACUGCAUUGGUGACUGGCAGGCUAGAGUAUGGCAGAGGGGGGUAGAAUUCCACGUGUAGCAGUGAAAUGCGUAGAGAUGUGGAGGAAUACCGAUGGCGAAGGCAGCCCCCUGGGCCAAAUACUGACGCUCAUGCACGAAAGCGUGGGGAGCAAACAGGAUUAGAUACCCUGGUAGUCCACGCCCUAAAACGAUGUCAACUAGUUGUUGGGGAUUCAUUUCCUUAGUAACGUAGCUAACGCGUGAAGUUGACCGCCUGGGGAGUACGGUCGCAAGAUUAAAACUUAAAUGAAUUGACGGGGUCAUAGCUGUUUCCU
This 588-nucleotide ribosomal RNA is filed under the name uncultured bacterium. Its description in RNAcentral is "partial 16S ribosomal RNA". It matches the Rfam family "Bacterial small subunit ribosomal RNA", at positions 355 to 1375 of the family's 1533-position model. The record is from RNAcentral.